Molecule: long non-coding RNA, 415 nt
Organism: Mytilus californianus (California mussel)
Lineage: Eukaryota; Metazoa; Mollusca; Bivalvia; Mytilida; Mytilidae
Exons: 2
Source: RefSeq, a predicted model, not a curated record
CCAGAUGAACACAAAAAAAUGGGGGGGAGACGAAUUAAGAUUUGUCGUGCCCAAUUGGAAAAAAAUAUGGGCCAGCAGUUGAAAUGUUCCCAUUUUUACAGGAAUAUCAAGCUAAAUUAGCUAAACAAGGUUUAAAAGAUCCAUGGAUCAGAAAUGAAGCAUGGAGAUAUAUGCCAGAGAAUGAUAUAGUCAAGGUCACAACAAAUUAAAAAGGACUAUUUUAGAAAUGUACCCUAUGCUUUGGGAGCAGCUGUAAUUUUUGCUGGCAUCAAAUAUGCAAUUACUCCAGCAGGAGAUCAUCACUAGGACUGUGCAGAAACAGAACCCAUUAAAAAAAACGGUUUAUACAAAUACCAUCUGAGUGACUAGGAAAUUGUUAAUUAACUUAAUAAGUAAAUAAAUGUGUGUAUAGAUA